GGAAAAUGAGUUUCAUCCUGCGUUUGUAGUUUCAUAUCACUCAAGACCAAAAUCUCUAGAUACACAGCAAGAAUUGUUGGAUAAAAUGAGAAUACAAGGCAUCUUUGGAAUCCUGUAGAUUUUUAUAUGAGCUGUCACAGUAAAGGCUUAUCAUCACUCAUAAACAAGAUCUCUAAAGCAACUGCAGAAAGAAGACUGGUCUCUGGAUAAAAUAAGGACGCGGGUCAUCUUUGGAAUCCUGUGGAUUUUCACCCAAACUGUCAUGGCUACUCCCGGGAAGGGCUCGCCACAGCGGAAUACCCAGGCUGCACUACUAUUUGGCACAGGUUUUACGCCAGAUGCCCUUCCUGAUGCAACCCUCCCAUUUUAUCCUUGGGACCCGCACUGUAUCCAGUGGCUGGGUUUUGGACACUGGCUGGGAAUCGAGCCCGGACCGUCCACAUGGCAGGCAAAACACCCACCACUGAGCCACCAGUGCCCUAUUUAUGAGCUCCGUGUAACUCAGUGUUACCAAAAUGUCUCUUCUCCAUGCGCAUCUCCAGCUGAAUGCUAUCCCCUCUCUUUACUCCUAACCAGUUAGGACACCUCGAGAGCUCUCCUACAUUUUAGUGGACAUAGGAGUGACUUUCUAUUUUCAGUAUGUUGAUGAAUUUCUCUUACUCCUACUCCUAAAAAAUAGGACCAAAAUUUGCCUCACCUCUCUGGGCAUUCUGAUCUAUCAGAUGUGUAAACUGUGUAUAUUGUAGAUGUCUAUGGCAUGUCUUUGUACAGUGAAACCAUGGAUUCCGAGCAUAAAUCAUUCCGGAAGUGUGCUUGUAAGACUCGCAUGGGUUAGUCUCACACACGUGGUCAUAGUGUGAAUGUUGUACGUGAUUUUUGCUAGUCUUAGUACUUAGCCUUACUUGUCUGUAACUAUUGAGUUCACUGGGUAACUGUUACUGUAUGUUGGUUUGGGAUCAGUCUGUUUACUUUACGAGUGGUG
Long non-coding RNA from Clarias gariepinus (North African catfish), 982 nucleotides. RefSeq lists it as uncharacterized. The transcript has 3 exons. NCBI's taxonomy places the organism in Eukaryota, Metazoa, Chordata, Actinopteri, Siluriformes, Clariidae. The record is from RefSeq and is a predicted model, not a curated record.